UGGGGCUGGCCGGGCUACUCGGGCCACGCAGCUGGAACCUGGAAAUUAGGAUUGGAAUCCUGAACUCCUAAAUCCAAACUACAGACUGGAAGUUACCAAAAAAUGUCACAGUGGUUCCUUGAUCAGGUAGAAAGAUGACAGAGCCCAACAUACCAGAACCUAGAAAGGAGGCGAAGGAGGCGGUCUAGAGGGAAGAGCACUUUGGUCAAAGGAUCAGGUGCAUAAAUGCGGAGGAAUGAGGAUGCCCGGCUUGCUGGAGGAUCAAGGGAAGAUGGCCUGCAGGAGCCAAGAAGUCUGGAGCAGCCAAAAAAACACAAAAGAAGUGCAACAAAAGAAGCUCCUGCCUUGACUGAUUGACCAGCCUUACGACGUUCCACCAUUAUGAAUUGUUCCUGUCCUGCCCCAACUGAUCAAUCGACCUUGUGACAUUCUUCUUCUGGACAAUGAAUCUUAUGAUCUCCCCACCAUGGACCCUGUGACCCCCUCCUCUGCUGACAAUAGAUAACCACCUCUAACUGUAACAUUCCACUGCCUACCUCAGUCCUAUAAAGCUGCCCCUCUCCUAUCUACCUUCGCUGACUCUCUUUUCGUACUCAGCCCACUUGCACCCAAGUGAAUAAACAGCCCUGUUGCUCACACAA
Molecule: long non-coding RNA, 641 nt
Filed under: Homo sapiens (human)
Lineage: Eukaryota; Metazoa; Chordata; Mammalia; Primates; Hominidae
Description: HSALNT0298116
Source: RNAcentral